RNAcentral lists this ribosomal RNA (465 nucleotides) under uncultured bacterium. Its description in RNAcentral is "partial 16S ribosomal RNA". It matches the Rfam family "Bacterial small subunit ribosomal RNA", at positions 28 to 507 of the family's 1533-position model. The record is from RNAcentral.
GACGAACGCUGGCGGCGUGCUUAACACAUGCGAGUCGAACGGAAAGGCCCCUUUGGGGGUACUCGAGUGGCGAACGGGUGAGUAACACGUGAGUAACCUGCCCUUGACUUCGGGAUAACUUCAGGAAACUGGGGCUAAUACCGGAUAGGAAUCCUUGCUGCAUGGUGGGGGUUGGAAAGCUUCGGCGGUUUUGGAUGGACUCGCGGCGUAUCAGCUUGUUGGUGGGGUAGUGGCUUACCAAGGCUUUGACGGGUAGCCGGCCUGAGAGGGCGACCGGCCACAUUGGGACUGAGAUACGGCCCAGACUCCUACGGGAGGCAGCAGUGGGGAAUAUUGCACAAUGGGCGGAAGCCUGAUGCAGCAACGCCGCGUGCGGGAUGACGGCCUUCGGGUUGUAAACCGCUUUCAGCAGGGGCGAAGCUUGUGGUGACGGUACCUGCAGAAGAAGCACCGGCUAACUACGUG